RNAcentral lists this long non-coding RNA (739 nucleotides) under Pogona vitticeps (central bearded dragon). Its description in RNAcentral is "lncRNA (ENSPVIG00000018997.1)". The record is from RNAcentral. Lineage: Eukaryota; Metazoa; Chordata; Lepidosauria; Squamata; Agamidae.
GGCGGGCACGGAGACCGACGGCGCCGGGUGGGUGGAGCCCCCGGAGGAGGGAUGCUCGCGGUGGAAGGAGGGGACGCGGCUGCCCUCCGGUGGGAGCGGGACCCCCCCUGCGCCAGGCCGGAUCGCGCCCUGCCAAGCGCCCGGCGGGGACAGAGGAAGGAUGUCAAGAUGGUUCCUAGAAGCAGGCAAAUGAUGAUGGGUAAGAAUCUUCCCUCUUGGGCUACACUAGCAUAAUAAGCUCAUUUAUGCUUUUUUGAGGGUUACACUUUCUUCAGCAUAAUCUCAUAGAUGCCAUUUACAUGUGUACAGAUCCAUCCUUGUACUAAGGUACCAUAACGUUUUGUUGUGAUACUUGCCUGUUGGACACCUAGCCCAUACCAGAUGAAAGAGCCCAACUGCGUCUCGGAAUGUGUUUUUAAUUGAUAGCCAGUACCUGCAGUGCAUCCAGGGGACACGUAUACUCUCCAAUCAGCCUGCCUCAAAUGUGGAAUUUCAAUGGGAUGACACAAUGUUGUCUCCCUUUUACUGCUCUCCUGUGUUUUUUUCAUCCACUUUUUUUAACCACAAGAUGGAAUAGUUGCAGAGUGUAUUGAUUGGUAGAACUAUGAGCUGUCUAAAAGCACUCCAGGUUCUUGGAAAAAGAUGCCAUAUAACAGCCUUCACAAACCUGGUGCCUUCUAGGUAGGUUGGAUUUUAACCUCCAUAGCCAGGCCAACCUCCUUGCAAUCCAGGCCACCAA